UGGGGAAUUUUGGACAAUGGGCGCAAGCCUGAUCCAGCAAUGCCGCGUGAGUGAAGAAGGCCUUCGGGUUGUAAAGCUCUUUUGUCAGGGAAGAAACGGUGANGGCUAAUAUCNNUUGCUAAUGACGGUACCUGAAGAAUAAGCACCGGCUAACUACGUGCCAGCAGCCGCGGUAAUACGUAGGGUGCAAGCGUUAAUCGGAAUUACUGGGCGUAAAGCGUGCGCAGGCGGUUUUGUAAGUUUGUCGUGAAAUCCCCGGGCUCAACCUGGGAAUUGCGAUGAAGACUGCAAGGCUNGAAUCUGGCAGAGGGGGGUAGAAUUCCACGUGUAGCAGUGAAAUGCGUAGAGAUGUGGAGGAACACCGAUGGCGAAGGCAGCCCCCUGGGUCAAGAUUGACGCUCAUGCACGAAAGCGUGGGGAGCAAACAGGAUUAGAUACCCUGGUAGUCCACGCCCUAAACGAUGUCUACUAGUUGUCGGGUUUUAAUUAACUNGGUAACGCAGCUAACGCGUGAAGUAGACCGCCUGGGGAGUACGGUCGCAAGAUUA
Molecule: ribosomal RNA, 548 nt
Filed under: uncultured bacterium
Lineage: Bacteria
Description: bacterial SSU rRNA
Rfam family: Bacterial small subunit ribosomal RNA
Source: RNAcentral